This 1170-nucleotide ribosomal RNA is filed under the name Kocuria palustris. Its description in RNAcentral is "bacterial SSU rRNA". It matches the Rfam family "Bacterial small subunit ribosomal RNA", at positions 56 to 1205 of the family's 1533-position model. The record is from RNAcentral. Lineage: Bacteria; Bacillati; Actinomycetota; Actinomycetes; Micrococcales; Micrococcaceae.
UGCAGUCGACGCUGAUGCACCAGCUUGCUGGUGUGGAUGAGUGGCGAACGGGUGAGUAAUACGUGAGUAACCUGCCCUUGACUCUGGGAUAAGCCCGGGAAACUGGGUCUAAUACUGGAUGCUACAUGUCACCGCAUGGUGGUGUGUGGAAAGGGUUUACUGGUCUUGGAUGGGCUCACGGCCUAUCAGCUUGUUGGUGAGGUAAUGGCUCACCAAGGCGACGACGGGUAGCCGGCCUGAGAGGGUGACCGGCCACACUGGGACUGAGACACGGCCCAGACUCCUACGGGAGGCAGCAGUGGGGAAUAUUGCACAAUGGGCGAAAGCCUGAUGCAGCGACGCCGCGUGAGGGAUGACGGCCUUCGGGUUGUAAACCUCUUUCAGCAGGGAAGAAGCCACAAGUGACGGUACCUGCAGAAGAAGCGCCGGCUAACUACGUGCCAGCAGCCGCGGUAAUACGUAGGGCGCAAGCGUUGUCCGGAAUUAUUGGGCGUAAAGAGCUCGUAGGCGGUUUGUCGCGUCUGCUGUGAAAGCCCGGGGCUUAACCCCGGGUGUGCAGUGGGUACGGGCAGACUAGAGUGCAGUAGGGGAGACUGGAAUUCCUGGUGUAGCGGUGGAAUGCGCAGAUAUCAGGAGGAACACCGAUGGCGAAGGCAGGUCUCUGGGCUGUUACUGACGCUGAGGAGCGAAAGCAUGGGGAGCGAACAGGAUUAGAUACCCUGGUAGUCCAUGCCGUAAACGUUGGGCACUAGGUGUGGGGGACAUUCCACGUUUUCCGCGCCGUAGCUAACGCAUUAAGUGCCCCGCCUGGGGAGUACGGCCGCAAGGCUAAAACUCAAAGGAAUUGACGGGGGCCCGCACAAGCGGCGGAACAUGCGGAUUAAUUCGAUGCAACGCGAAGAACCUUACCAAGGCUUGACAUAUACCCGGAUCGUUCCAGAGAUGGUUCUUCCCCUUUGGGGGUCGGUAUACAGGUGGGUGCAUGGGUUGUCGUCCGCCUCCGGGUCCUGGAAAUGUUGGGGUUAAGUCCCCGCAACGAAGCGCAACCCCUCGUUUCCAUGUUGGCCAACCACCUUGAUGGGGGGGGAACUCAUGGGGAAAACUGCCCGGGGUUCAACUCCGGAAGAAAGGGUGGGGGAUGAACGUCCAAAUCCUUCCUUGCCCCCUUAA